Molecule: long non-coding RNA, 1130 nt
Organism: Esox lucius (northern pike)
Lineage: Eukaryota; Metazoa; Chordata; Actinopteri; Esociformes; Esocidae
Exons: 3
Source: RefSeq, a predicted model, not a curated record
CGGAUUCUACAUCCCAAAUGGCACACUAUUUCCAAAGUACAGUGCACUACUUUUCACAAGCAGUGCUCUAUCUAGGGAAUCGGGUGCCAUUUUGGGACGAGUAUUACUGUAGCAGUCAGAGUAGUCCUCCAAGCAUUAAUAACUUAUCCUGUGACUGCUACGAUCAAGGGGGAGUGAGGAAUGAGGGUUGCUGGUCCGUGAUACAUCCCUAGCACUUUGGAGCUGUCGAGGAGAGUAAUCGCUGCUCCGCAGUGUAGCCUAAAUAGAAAUGCUUCAAUAGCCCCCUCACCAACUGUAAAGGUCCCUUAAACAGCUGCAUUGCUUAUUUGUUUCGGAGCAGAAUGGUAAAUGCGCGCGAGCAAAAGUUGAGUGGAAAGGUGUGCGAGGUGAGAAGAAAUAAUGUUCAACUAGCUCUUACAAAGUCGAAAGCGAACAAGGUCUCCGCCAGGUAAACUAUCUUUAUCCUUCCACCGUCUCAUCACAACACUGGCCAAGGGGAGUUCAGACAGUCAUCCCAGCUCCAGACAGUCAUAUGACUCCCAAUCGUAUAACAGAUACAGUCUAUAAGUGGAGUUGAGACACAGACAGACUGCUGAGGAUGGCACGGGGAUCUGAAGUCACCUUCCUAAUUGUCUGUCUGUGGAAAAAGGGCAUGCUGUCAACAAAACAACCCUAGGCAACACCUUUAUGUUUCCUGUUAUUUUAUCAUCUUGGAGUCGAUUGUAGACCCAGAUGUUUUGUUUACUGUACUUAAAGCUAGUCAGCUUGUGAAAACUGAUCAAUGUGCAUGAUGUUAUCUGUCAGUUCAUUUCAGUGAGAUACCAAUUACACAGGUUGUGCUUGACAUACAUAUCCAGGAAGGUACUUUGUGCUUAAUGUAGAAAACUAGAUUGAGCUUGAAAUGUAUUACACAAAUUGCUUUUUCAAACCAUAAUGUUUUCAAGCGCUCCGUAUUUCCAUGUUUAUAAGUGUUACUGUAUACACUUUUUUGGUUCGCUGGCCCACCAUUUUAUUUUAAUAUUAAACCAGUGAAGGACAUCAUCAGUGGCUGUUUUCAAAGUGAAUACCUGUCAUCGGCCUGAACAGCAAUAUCCCAAAAAAUUCUGCAAUAAACAAACGUUACAAACAGA